RNAcentral lists this ribosomal RNA (462 nucleotides) under uncultured bacterium. RNAcentral's name for it is "bacterial SSU rRNA". It matches the Rfam family "Bacterial small subunit ribosomal RNA", at positions 917 to 1382 of the family's 1533-position model. The record is from RNAcentral.
GGGCCCGCACAAGCAGCGGAGCAUGUGGUUUAAUUCGAAGCAACGCGAAGAACCUUACCUAGACUUGACAUCUCCUGAAUUACUCGUAACGGAGGAAGCCCUUCGGGGCAGGAAGACAGGUGGUGCAUGGUUGUCGUCAGCUCGUGUCGUGAGAUGUUGGGUUAAGUCCCGCAACGAGCGCAACCCUUAUUGUUAGUUGCUACCAUUAAGUUGAGCACUCUAGCGAGACUGCCGCGGUUAACGCGGAGGAAGGUGGGGAUGACGUCAAAUCAUCAUGCCCCUUAUGUCUAGGGCUACACACGUGCUACAAUGGGGAGUACAAAAAGACGCAAGACCGCGAGGUGGAGCAAAACUUAUAAAACUUCCCCCAGUUCGGAUUGUAGGCUGAAACUCGCCUACAUGAAGCUGGAGUUGCUAGUAAUCGCGAAUCAGAAUGUCGCGGUGAAUACGUUCCCGGGCCUU